ACGCUCGACACCUACGGGGGGCAGCAGUGGGGAAUAUUGCACAAUGGGGGAAACCCUGAUGCAGCAACGCCGCGUGAAGGAAGACGGUUUUCGGAUUGUAAACUUCUGUUCUUAGUGAAGAUAGUGACGGUAGCUAAGGAGCAAGCCACGGCUAACUACGUGCCAGCAGCCGACGGUAAUCUGAGGCGGGCUGGCAAGGC
This 200-nucleotide ribosomal RNA is filed under the name uncultured bacterium. RNAcentral's name for it is "partial 16S ribosomal RNA". It matches the Rfam family "Bacterial small subunit ribosomal RNA", at positions 328 to 539 of the family's 1533-position model. The record is from RNAcentral.